AUUGAACGCUGGCGGCAGGCCUAACACAUGCAAGUCGAGCGGAUGGAGGGAGCUUGCUCUUGGAUUCAGCGGCGGACGGGUGAGUAAUGCCUAGGUAUCUGCCUGGCAGUGGGGGCUAACGUCCGGAAACGGGCGCUAAUACCGCAUACGUUCUGAGGGUGAAAGUGGGGGAUCAUUGGACCUCAAGCUAUCAGAUGAGCCUAGGUCGGAUUAGCUAGUUGGUUGGGUAAAGGCCUACCAAGGCGACGAUCCGUAACUGAUCUGAGAGGAUGAUCAGUCACACUGGAACUGAGACACGGUCCAGACUCCUACGGGAGGCAGCAGUGGGGAAUAUUGGACAAUGGGCGAAAGCCUGAUCCAGCCAUGCCGCGUGUGUGAAGAAGGUCUUCGGAUUGUAAAGCACUGUAAGUAGGGAAGAAGAGCAGUAAGUUAAUACCUGGCUGUUUUGACGGUACCAACAGAAUAAGCACCGGCUAACUUCGUG
RNAcentral lists this ribosomal RNA (484 nucleotides) under uncultured bacterium. Its description in RNAcentral is "partial 16S ribosomal RNA". It matches the Rfam family "Bacterial small subunit ribosomal RNA", at positions 30 to 507 of the family's 1533-position model. The record is from RNAcentral.